GAUGAACGCUGGCGGCGUGCCUAAUACAUGCAAGUCGAACGCUUUGUCUUUAAUUGUUAUGAAGAGCUUGCUCUGAUUCGAUUUUAUCUGACAAAGAGUGGCGAACGGGUGAGUAACACGUGGGUCACCUACCUCUUAGCAGGGGAUAACAUUUGCAAACAAGUGCUAAUACCGUAUAACACUAACAACCGCAUGGUUGUUAGUUGAAAGAUGGUUCUGCUAUCACUAAGAGAUGGACCCGCGAUGCUUUAGCUAGUUGGUAAGGUAAUGGCUUACCACGGCGAUGAUGCGUAGCCGAAGUGCGAGACGGGUCGGCCGCAAGAGGACUUGGACACGGACCAUAGGCCUACGAUAGGCAGCAGUAGGGAAUGUUCCGCAGUGGGCGCAAGCCUUAUGGAACGACGCCACGUGUGUGAUAGAGGGUUUCGGCUCGUAAAACACGGUUAUAAGUUGAGAACGACAUUGAGAGUAACUGUUCAGUGUGUGACGGUAACGGAUCAGAAAGGAACGGCUAAAUACGUG
RNAcentral lists this ribosomal RNA (522 nucleotides) under uncultured bacterium. RNAcentral describes it as "partial 16S ribosomal RNA". It matches the Rfam family "Bacterial small subunit ribosomal RNA", at positions 28 to 507 of the family's 1533-position model. The record is from RNAcentral.